GGCGAAAGCGCGCGCAGGCGGCCUUUUAAGUCUGAAUGUGAAAGCCCACGGCUCAACCGUGGAGGGUCAUUGGAAACUGGAAGGCUUGAGUGCAGAAGAGAAGAGCGGAAUUCCACGUGUAGCGGUGAAAUGCGUAGAGAUGUGGAGGAACACCAGUGGCGAAGGCGGCUCUUUGGUCUGUAACUGACGCUGAGGCGCGAAAGCGUGGGGAGCGAACAGGAUUAGAUACCCUGGUAGUCCACGCCGUAAACGAUGAGUGCUAAGUGUUGGGGGGUUUCCGCCCCUCAGUGCUGCAGCUAACGCAUUAAGCACUCCGCCUGGGGAGUACGGCCGCAAGGCUGAAACUCAAAGGAAUUGACGGGGGCCCGCACAAGCGGUGGAGCAUGUGGUUUAAUUCGAAGCAACGCGAAGAACCUUACCAGGUCUUGACAUCCCGCUGACCGGUCUGGAGACAGAUCUUCCCCUUCGGGGGCAGCGGUGACAGGUGGUGCAUGGUUGUCGUCAGCUCGUGUCGUGAGAUGUUGGGUUAAGUCCCGCAACGAGCGCAACCCUUGAUCUUAGUUGCCAGCAUUUAGUUGGGCACUCUAAGGUGACUGCCGGUGACAAACCGGAGGAAGGUGGGGAUGACGUCAAAUCAUCAUGCCCCUUAUGACCUGGGCUACACACGUGCUACAAUGGAUGGUACAAAGGGCUGCAAGACCGCGAGGUUUAGCCAAUCCCAUAAAACCAUUCUCAGUUCGGAUUGCAGGCUGCAACUCGCCUGCAUGAAGCUGGAAUCGCUAGUAAUCGCGGAU
This 794-nucleotide ribosomal RNA is filed under the name Pseudobacillus badius. RNAcentral's name for it is "bacterial SSU rRNA". It matches the Rfam family "Bacterial small subunit ribosomal RNA", at positions 557 to 1349 of the family's 1533-position model. The record is from RNAcentral. Lineage: Bacteria; Bacillati; Bacillota; Bacilli; Caryophanales; Bacillaceae.